Molecule: long non-coding RNA, 364 nt
Organism: Branchiostoma belcheri (Belcher's lancelet)
Lineage: Eukaryota; Metazoa; Chordata; Leptocardii; Amphioxiformes; Branchiostomatidae
Exons: 2
Source: RefSeq, a predicted model, not a curated record
CCGUGGUGAAGAGGUAUGGCUUGGUCUAGAAUAUGGUAGGACGGCCACGAAAGACGGCCACGCCGCUAUUGGUCAAUUUCUCAGCAAGCUCCACGCUGCUAUUGGUCGGGGUAUCAGCUGCUGCAGUGAGGGGUAGCUAGCGGUGGGGAGGGCUGCCGGCGUUUAUCCACAACUUUUAGGGGCAAAAAAACGUCAACCUUUACGACUAUAAUCACUCCACUUCGGUGGAUAAGCCACAAACAGUCAUUUGUGCGGCUCUUAGCUCUGGAAACCUUACAGGGCAUUUGCCAGAAAGGAGAAACUGAUUGCACAGCAGGAAAUGGAGAUGUCAAUGCAUUAAAUUCUGGAAUUGUUGGAAGUGCCA